Molecule: long non-coding RNA, 1795 nt
Filed under: Geospiza fortis (medium ground-finch)
Lineage: Eukaryota; Metazoa; Chordata; Aves; Passeriformes; Thraupidae
Description: lncRNA (ENSGFOG00000012086.1)
Source: RNAcentral
AGAGGAGACCCAGAGCCCCCUCCCUGCUCAUCCCCAGAGCCUCAGAACUGCCUGGUGGAGCAGGGGAUGCUGGAGAGGAAGGAGCCAGAAGCUGGCAGAGCAGGGAUGCCCAUGGAGCAGGGACCUGCCCUCCUGGCCUCCCCAAGAGGUGGGAUGGGCACAGGGAGGGGGUCUCUGCUUCCAGUUGCCGCCUGCUUCAGAUGCCCCGGCUUGAGAGGAGCCUGCCAACUGCUCUCCAUAGAAAAAUGGAUUAUUCUACAGGCAGAUUAAUGGGCUUUCAUUUUGCAAAACAUCUGUCACUGUUAGUCCUGGACAGUGAGCGUGAAAUUAGUUUUGACUGCAAAAAGGCAGCGUCGGUGUGUAAUAUGUGACUUACAUGACAAGAGCCCAGGAGUCAGCUGGGGAAUGGGAAUUACCUGUUGAAGGGAGAAGGGCAGUGGGAUGUGCCCUGGGAUCGGGUGUCCUUGCUGUGCCCAGCACCAGCCUUGCAGCUCCUGCCCUGAGGCUGGUGGAGCAUCAAACCUCACCUUGAACACCAUUCCAGCACUGCCUCCCCGCUCCUUUCAUUUAACCCCAAACUUUCCCUCCUUUCCCCGUUUCCUCCUUUCCCUUUUGGAUCCCACGGGGCCUUUGGGCUCUCAGCUGGUGGCCUUGUGUCUUGCAGAUGUACAGUCACCAUCUCGGUGAGUCUGAGUGCCUCGGUGUCGCUGGGCAUGCUCUACAUGCCCAAGGUGUACAUCAUCCUCUUCCACCCGGAGCAGAACGUCCCCAAGCGCAAGAGGAGCCUCAAGGCCGUGGUGACAGCGGCCACCAUGUCCAACAAGUUCUCCCAGAAGGGAGGGUUCCGCCCCAACGGAGAGGCCAAGUCGGAGCUCUGCGAGAACCUGGAAACGCAAGCACUGGCCACCAAGCAGACCUACGUCAGCUACAGCAACCACGCCAUUUAGCUCCAGGAGCAGCGAGCAGGAGGGAGCGGGUUCCUGGCAGGGACAGCACCGCAGCACAGGCAGGUGGCAGCCAGGGGACAGCCCCAGGGCAGAAUCCCGGGGGAAAACGCCAUCAACAGCAGCAAAAAAAAAAUCCAUAAAGAAACACUAAAACUCUUCCAGCGCCCACGGUGGCGAUGCAUGGCUCCCACAGAGGGGGGACGGAGCACGGGCAAGAGGGCACGGACUUCAGCAAGUCUUUGGGUUUUGUUUUUUCCUGUAUUUUGGCAAAAAAGAGGGAAAAAAAAAAAAUAAGAGCCCCAACAUUUUCCCGUUUCUGGAAUUUGUGAGAUUGUUUGUGGUUGUGCAGAACCUUCUGUUUUCUCUUUUUAUUUUUUUUUUAAUCUUCCAUUUUCUUUCGUUCCUGUCUUCCUCCGUCCCUCUUCACUCUCUACCCCAUAUCCUACCAAAUUCUAUAUGUUGCAAAAAGGAAAAAUAAAUAAAAAUACUUAAAAUUUACAUUAAGAAAAAAAAAAACAGACAGCAAAAUAAAAUAAAAUAAAACCUAGACUGUGUUCAAAGUGCUGAUUUCUAUAGGUGGUUCCUUAAUGUAUGUGAUGACCAUAUGGAUUGAAAUAUGUCUGCUUUAUGUACUGACCAGUCAAAAAACAAAAACACACAAAAAAACUAAAGUUCAGUGCCUGGAUGUUUAUGAAUUAUUCGAUGACUGUGUAGAGCAUGAUCAUUUUUAUACGAGGAGAUUUCUAAUAAAAGACCCUGGUUUUGCACUCGGCGUUUGCUGUCUCUUGGUGACUUGGUUUCAGGAGGUGCCAGGGAAGGCUUUGGGUGGCCAAACCCUCUGGGAGAGC